UACGAAGGGAGCUAGCGUUGUUCGGAAUCACUGGGCGUAAAGCGCACGUAGGCGGAUGUGUCAGUCAGGGGUGAAAUCCCGGAGCUCAACUUCGGAACUGCCCUUGAUACAGCACGUCUUGAGUCCGGAAGAGGUGGGUGGAAUUCCUAGUGUAGAGGUGAAAUUCGUAGAUAUUAGGAAGAACACCGGUGGCGAAGGCGGCCCACUGGUCCGGUAUUGACGCUGAGGCGCGAAAGCCAGGGGAGCAAACGGG
This 253-nucleotide ribosomal RNA is filed under the name uncultured bacterium. RNAcentral describes it as "partial 16S ribosomal RNA". It matches the Rfam family "Bacterial small subunit ribosomal RNA", at positions 524 to 776 of the family's 1533-position model. The record is from RNAcentral.